This is a long non-coding RNA of Trifolium pratense (red clover), 334 nucleotides long. RefSeq lists it as uncharacterized. The transcript has 4 exons. The record is from RefSeq and is a predicted model, not a curated record. NCBI's taxonomy places the organism in Eukaryota, Viridiplantae, Streptophyta, Magnoliopsida, Fabales, Fabaceae.
CUCUACCUCGAUUUGCAAUGGAAUUCAAAAGCAUUAUACAUUUUCUUCAUGGCAAAACAAUUCUAUUAACCGGUGUUACUGGCUUCCUUGGAAAAAAGUAUUAGAGCUGGUCAAUAAACUGCUAUGCCAAUAUUUUCAGGGGAUGUGCCUCGACCUAAAUCGAAAAAUUAAUAUUGUUAUGCGGCUGGUCGAUCUUUAUCUACCUUACUUGUUCUUCAAUGGCAUGACCAUAGACAGUAUAGUCGUUGCUUAUGGUAAAGGAAAAUUGACAAGCUUCUUGGCAGAUCUCGAUGCUGUUUUUGAUGUGAUACCAGCAGACAUGGUGGUAAAUGCA